RNAcentral lists this transfer-messenger RNA (386 nucleotides) under Nitrosopumilus sp. CG10_big_fil_rev_8_21_14_0_10_33_7. It matches the Rfam family "transfer-messenger RNA". From Rfam's summary of the family: Bacterial tmRNA, also known as 10Sa RNA or SsrA, is named for its dual tRNA and mRNA-like properties. The record is from RNAcentral. Lineage: Archaea; Thermoproteati; Nitrososphaerota; Nitrososphaeria; Nitrosopumilales; Nitrosopumilaceae.
GGGGAUGUUUUUUAUUUGAUGUCAGAUGAAGUGAUAUAUGGCAAGUUGAGUUCGUGAUCUCGUAAAAAAUUGCAAUAAAAUAAGUGCAGAAAACACUUUUGCCAAAGUAAAAGAACUUUNNNNNNNNNCUAGCUUUGCGCCAGUCUUGGCCUAAAGUGCCUCGACCGUGGCUAGGCUAAUCAGCCUGAGAUUGACUAGCAACGUAUUAUUUUUCAGGCUAAGGAUAUUUGGUGUUAGUAUAAAUAUCUCAAAAAUUACUAACUAACUCGAUUAUUGAUUUUUUGUUAAUUUUAGAGCCAAUGAUUUAAAAUAUAAAAUUAACUAAACUUGUAGAAAUGUAUUAGGACAUUUGUCAGACAGGGGUGUGAUACCCCUCAUCUCCACCA